This 301-nucleotide ribosomal RNA is filed under the name uncultured bacterium. RNAcentral's name for it is "partial 16S ribosomal RNA". It matches the Rfam family "Bacterial small subunit ribosomal RNA", at positions 509 to 807 of the family's 1533-position model. The record is from RNAcentral.
CAGUCGCCACGGUAAUACGUAGGUGGCAAGCGUUGUCCGGAAUUAUUGGGCGUAAAGCGCGCGCAGGUGGUUUAAUAAGUCUGAUGUGAAAGCCCACGGCUCAACCGUGGAGGGUCAUUGGAAACUGUUAAACUUGAGUGCAGGAGAGAAAAGUGGAAUUCCUGGUGUAGCGGUGAAAUGCGUAGAGAUUAGGAGGAACACCAGUGGCGAAGGCGGCUUUUUGGCCUGUAACUGACACUGAGGCGCGAAAGCGUGGGGAGCAAACAGGAUUAGAGACCCCCGUAGUCCCUGUCUCUUAUAC